Small nucleolar RNA from Quercus robur (English oak), 92 nucleotides. RefSeq annotates it as small nucleolar RNA R64/Z200 family. NCBI's taxonomy places the organism in Eukaryota, Viridiplantae, Streptophyta, Magnoliopsida, Fagales, Fagaceae. The transcript has a single exon. The record is from RefSeq and is a predicted model, not a curated record.
GAGUUGCUGUGAUGAAUCAUGUAACUAUCACAUGUCAGACUUCAGAGAUCUUAAAAGAUCUAUGAGAUUAUAUUCAUGUUUCUGAGCAGAUU